This is a long non-coding RNA of Piliocolobus tephrosceles (Ugandan red Colobus), 4944 nucleotides long. Lineage: Eukaryota; Metazoa; Chordata; Mammalia; Primates; Cercopithecidae. The record is from Ensembl.
AUGGAGGAAAUAAUUGCACAUACAAUAAAGAAACAGAUGAAAAUGCAAAUAGUGUUAAUCAAAAAAAAAAAAAAAAAAAGAACAGGUAUACCUAUGAACGAACGUAAAUGUUAUCGUGUGUUAGCAAAACAAAUGGUAAAAAUACAAGGACUAACUUUUGAUCAUAAUCAAAUUAGAUGGAUAGCAUACUGGAAAAAUGAAAAUAACAAACAAAUCCAAAAACAUUUUCCUGUUUGUAAAUAUGGUUUUUACACAGCUAGACAAUUGGCUCUCGAUUUUAGAAACAUGAAAAUAGCCGAUAUGGAUAAUACAAUAAAGAAAGAAUUGGAUGGUAUGACUAGUUCUUCUACUGCUAUAGCUUUAGCUAUUACUCCUACGGGUGAUAAUACGGUCGCUACUUCCAUAACUGCCAAUACUUCCAUAACUACCAAUACUGCCAUAACUGUCACUACUGCCACUACUGCCAAUACUGCCAAUACUGCCAAUACUACCACUACUGCCACUACUACCACUACUGCUGCUACUAUCACUACUGGUACUACUACCUUUCCUAGUAUUACUAACAAAAACGAGAUAAAAACCAAUUUUAUUAAAAAUAAGAUACGAAAUAAUGGGGGGGGAAAAAAUAGUAAAACAAUGCAGCAAGAAGAGAUGUAUAAUAAUAAAAAAAAAAGAAAAAAAAAAUUAUUAUAUGUUGAUAAUGGUAUUUCUGGUAGUAUUCCUAACGAAUUAACAACUUGUCCUAUUACUUUAAAAAAAAAACAAAACAGAAAAAAUAUUACAAGGAAAAAAAAUAGUAAUAAUAGAGUAGUAAGUAAGAACGACGUUGAUAAUAGGGGUAACAGUGAUAAUUAUAAUGAUGUUAAUACUACUGAUAUUUUUACGUAUGAUGGUAGUAAUAACAAUAACACUUAUAGUAAUAGUAGCACAAGUCGAAACAGUAACAAAGGAAUUACAAACAAAAACAAAAAAAAUAAUGGUAAUAAAUGUUUGAAAAGUAAUGUAACAGUUAGUAAUAAAAGGAAAACACAUUCGAAAAAGAAGGGUGAAACAAAAGAUUAUAACAAACCGGAUAUGCAUAUGGCAAACACUGGUGUCGUAUGUCAACAGAAUAAAAUGGUCAACAUAGAUCAUGACAAUUUACUUAAAACAAACAACUAUGUGCAAAAUGUAUUAAAUAAUAAACAAAUAGCUUGUGUAUAUUUGGAUAAUAAAAAAUCAAAUAAUAUAUUAAAUAGUAAUGGAAAUAAUGUAUUAAAUAGUAAUGGAAAUAAUGUAUUGAAUAAUAAUGGAAAUAAUGUAUUGAAUAGUAAUGGAAAUAAUGUAUUGAAUAGUAAUGGAAAUAAUGUACUAAAUAUUAAUGGAAAUACUGUAUUAAAUAUUAAUGGAAAUACUGUAUUAAAUAGUAAAGGAAAUAAUGUAUUAAUGGAGAAUAUCGAUUCUUUUAAAAAUAAAAAUAAUUAUAUACAACAUCAUAUACAUAGUAAUACAUUCGUUAAUAAUAGUAUUUGUACUGACAACAUAAGCAGUUGCAACACACAAUUUAAUCCAACUCAUACAGAUGAAAAUAAUUUUUUAUACAAAUCAAAGAACUUUAAUAUGUGUGAUUUUGAAAUUACGAAAAAGAAUAUAUCUAAUAAUGGUACUUUUAUACAUCAUUCCAAUGUACAGAAUUGUAAUACUUCUAGUUUUGAUUUGAUUAAUGCUUAUGGUAAUGUUGGUACGAGUGGGUGUGGUAAUUCUAUUAUGAUUAAUUCUUCGGACCACUUGGUUGAAUAUGAUAAUAAUUUACAAAAUGGUUGUAUAAAUUAUAAUAAUAGAAUAUAUGAUGAAGUAACAAAUAUAAAUAUAUCUGAUAAUGUAACAAAAAAUAAAAAUAUGGAAAAUAUUUUUUGUUUGGGUUAUAUGAAUAAUACAUUUUAUAAUAUGAACUAUCAGACUGAUCAAAGUUACUAUCACCAUAGUUAUAACGAUAUGAUUGAUGUUUAUAAUAAUAAUUGUGGUGAAUAUAAAAAUAGGAAUGAUAUAAUUAAUAAUAAUAUUAAUAAUAAUAUUAAUAAUAAUAUUAAUAAUAAUUUUAAUAAUAAUAUGUAUAAUAUGGACAAUAAUAUGUAUGCUAAUAAUAUAUUUAAUAAUGUAGAAAAUGUAAAAUAUAUAAAUGGUUGUAAGGAAUAUAACUCACAUUAUGAUGAUUUUAUUAAUACGAAAAAUAAAAAUGAUGUUUUUAUUUUACUCCCUGAUAAUUUAAAUAAUAAUAUUAAUACUAUUGGUAAUACUGUUGGUAAUACUGUUGGUAAUACGGUUGGUAAUACUGUUGGUAAUACUGUUGGUAAUACGGUUGGUAAUACGGUUGGUAAUAUGAACAACAUUAAUAGUAUUAACCAGGAUAACCUUAGUUACACUAACCAAUACAACAUUAAUAACAAUAAACAGAUAAACAAAGUAUACGAAACAAAUGAACAAAAUAACUCUUAUGACUACAACAACAUUUAUAUAAUGCAUCCUAAUAGUAACAUUUAUAUAAACAAUAAUAAUAAUAAUAAUAAUAAUAAUAUGAUUGAGAAUAUAAAUAAUGAUGUUAUUGUAGAUACUAGUCAGGGUAUAUACAAACAAAUAAAUUUAAAUGAUGAUAGAGAGAUUUCACAGUGGGUAGAUAACAAUAAUGUGCACCAUAACACUAAUGAGUGUAAACAAACUAAAAAGCAAACUAGUCGGGUAUAUGAGAGCGAAAACAAAAGCCAAAACAAAAGCCAAAAUAAAAGCGAAAAAAAAAACGAAAAAAAAAAUGAAAAAAAAAAUGAAAAAAAAAAUGAAAAAAAAAAUGAAAAUGUAAAGGAACAAAAAAAUAAAAAUAAAUACAGAUAUACAAACACAAAUACAAUAGUAGAAAACGAUGAUAAUAUUUAUUAUAAACAAAAAAAAAUAAACAAAACUAAUGAUAAAGUUAGAAAUAACAAUGUUGCUAUAAUGAGUGGUAAUUAUAAAGAUGAUCAUUAUAACUGUAAGAAAGAAUGUACACUUUCACUAAAAAAAAUAAAACAUAUAGAGAAUGAUGAGUAUAUACAAAACGGUAACAAUAACAGUAACAGUAAUAAUAAAAAAAAUAAAAAAAAUGCAAAUGUUUCAGUAUCUAAAGAAAAACAAAAUAAGCAGAUGAUUAUACAGAAUAAUCAGUAUCAAUCGAAUAAUAACAAUAUGAAAUUUGCUUCAAGUACAACUAACAUGUUGGAUGUGGAUGCUGACACAUUAACUAGAUCAUCUACCUUUGCCUACCAUUCAGACCAGGUAAUUAAUAACAUAAUGGACUGUUACAACAAUAAUAGCAAUAACAGCAAUAAUAGCAAUAACAGCAAUAACAGCAAUAAUAGCAAUAAUAGCAAUAAUAGCAAUAAUAACAAUAAUAGCAAUAAUAACAAUAAUAGCAAUAUGAUGGUAAUAAUAAACAAUGAGGUAGUGAAUAAUGUUAUACAUAUUGAUCGAAAUAAAAAUGAAAAUGUUGAAAGUUCAGUACGAAUAGAGCAAGGAAAUGAUAUGACGCUUGGUAUAAACAGAAAUUAUGAUCAUACAAAAGCAGAUAAAAAAAAUGAAAGCGAAUUAUGUUACAAUGAAACGGAUGGUGUCAUAAAUGCUUCAUACAUGAACAAUAUCGACAGAAAAGAAAAUUAUUUAAAAAAAAAAGCAGUACUAAUAGAAUCAGAUAAAAGUAAUAGGAAGUUAAAUGAUGUUAUAUAUUAUACUAAGGACAUGGAAAAAAAGGUUUUUAAACAAAAUAAAAAAAAAAAUAAUGAUAUAAAUGACAGUGAUGAAUAUAAUAGAGAUGUUUUUCAUAAUAAUGGUAGUAACAAUUUAGGUUGUAAUACUGUUUAUAGUUAUAAUAAACAUAAUGUAACUGAACAGAGUCUAUGUGAUGGAGAUUUAAUUUAUAAUUGCAAUGAUGUGGCAAGAAAAAAUAUGUUAGGUGAGUUAAACACUGUAAAUAAACCAAUAAGUUUGUCAAACAGUUUAUAUUAUACAAGUAAUGAGUAUAUAAACCAUCCUAAAUUGAUAAAAACAAAAAAACAAUUCAAUAGGAAUGAAAAAAAAAAAAUAAAUAAAAUGAGUAAUAAUGUUAAUGAACAAAAUAAAACUAUUAUUUACCUGGAAAAGGAAAAUAGUAAUAAUGAACACAUUGGUAAAAAUAACAGAUAUAAAAAAAAUAAAAUAAAUAAUGAAAGAGUAGUUAGUGAAAAAGUAGUUAGUGAAAGAGUAGUUAGCGAAAGAGUAGUUAUUGAUGGUGAUGUAAGAAGUAACAGUGCAGGUAGUUCAAUGAUCGAUAAGAGUAGCAAACUUGUUACAUCGUGUGAAGAACACAGUGAAAAUAACAUCUUACAUAAAAACAAAAAUAAUAUUAAUUUAAUUAAUGAACGAAGUAAUAUCGAAAGUUGUACAUAUGAGUCAAGUAGUAAAGAUAAACAAAUGAAAGAACUAAAAAAUGAGUACUAUGAUUAUUAUAAUGGUACUGGAAAUGCAAUUACUGACAUUAUUGGUACUAAUAAUAGCAUCGAUGGUUAUAGCAAUACUAUGAAUAGUAGGAACAUUAACUGUAACAAUAGUUAUAGUGAUAUAGAUUAUGCUAAUGAAAUAAUGAAAAUACCCAAAAUAAAAGGAGUACAUUUUGAUAUAAGACAAAAAAGGUGGUGCGCAUAUGGACAUAAAAAAAAAGAAUGUUUUUCAGUGUACAGGUAUGGAUUUUUAAAUGCCAGAGAGUUGGCAGUAAGGAGUAGAUUGCUAGUGCAACGAAAAAGAAAUAAUAUGAAAUUAAAAAAGCAAAUGCAGGAGAUGGUACAAGAGCAGCAACAAGAACAACAACAAGAGCAGCAACAAGAACAACAACAAGAACANNNNNNNNNNAACAACAACAAGAGCAGCAACAAGAACAACAACAAGAACAACAACAACAGGUAG